This 365-nucleotide ribosomal RNA is filed under the name uncultured eukaryote. RNAcentral's name for it is "partial 18S ribosomal RNA". It matches the Rfam family "Eukaryotic small subunit ribosomal RNA", at positions 592 to 975 of the family's 1831-position model. The record is from RNAcentral.
CAAUAGCGUAUAUUAACGUUGUUGCAGUUAAAAAGCUCGUAGUUGGAUCUCUGGAGGGAGCGUCGGCCCGUAUUUACGAGUGCGUGACGUCUCUGUCCAUCCUUGCGGGAAGGCACGGCAUUGAUUUGUUGUGUCGGAUCGCAUCAUUUACUGUGAAAAAAUUAGAGUGUUCAAAGCAGGCUUUCGCUUGAAUACAUUAGCAUGGAAUAAUAAGAUAGGACUUUGGUGCUAUUUUGUUGGUUGGGCCUAAAGUAAUGAUUAAUAGGGAUAGUUGGGGGCACCUGUAUUGCGUUGUCAGAGGUGAAAUUCUUGGAUUUACGCAAGACAAACAGCUGCGAAAGCGUCUGCCAAGGAUGUUUUCAUUA